CACGUAGGGCGCAAGCGUUGUCCGGAAUUAUUGGGCGUAAAGAGCUCGUAGGCGGUCUGUUGCGUCCGCUGUGAAAACUCGGGGCUUAACCCCGAGCCUGCAGUGGAUACGGGCAGACUAGAGGUAGGUAGGGGAGAAUGGAAUUCCCGGUGUAGCGGUGAAAUGCGCAGAUAUCGGGAGGAACACCGGUGGCGAAGGCGGUUCUCUGGACAGUUCCUGACGCUGAGGGACGAAAGCUAGGGGAGCAAACGGG
This 253-nucleotide ribosomal RNA is filed under the name uncultured bacterium. Its description in RNAcentral is "partial 16S ribosomal RNA". It matches the Rfam family "Bacterial small subunit ribosomal RNA", at positions 524 to 776 of the family's 1533-position model. The record is from RNAcentral.